Acanthosepion pharaonis is the source of this 108-nucleotide non-coding RNA. The record is from the annotation of a GenBank genome assembly. Lineage: Eukaryota; Metazoa; Mollusca; Cephalopoda; Sepiida; Sepiidae.
UACAGCCAUAUCACAUUGAAACACCAGUUCCUGUCUGAUCGCCAAAGUUAAGCAACAAUGAAUCUGGUUAGUACCUAGAUGGGUGACUGCUUGGGAAUAUCAGGUGCU